AGAUUGAACGCUGGCGGCGUGCUUAACACAUGCAAGUCGAGCGGUAACGCGGGAGCAAUCCUGGCGACGAGCGGCGAACGGGUGAGUAAUGCUUGGGAAUCUGCCCAUUAGUGGGGAACAACCAGCCGAAAGGUUGGCUAAUACCGCAUACGCCCUACGGGGGAAAGCGGGGGAUCGAAAGACCUCGCGCUAAUGGAUGAGCCCAAGUCGGAUUAGCUUGUUGGUAGGGUAACGGCCUACCAAGGCGACAAUCCGUAGCUGGUCUGAGAGGACGACCAGCCACACUGGGACUGAGACACGGCCCAGACUCCUACGGGAGGCAGCAGUGGGGGAAUAUUGGACAAUGGGGGGCAACCCUGAUCCAGCGACGCCGCGUGUGUGAAGAAGGCCUGCGGGUUGUAAAGCACUUUUAGUGGGGAUGAAAAGCUCAGGGUUAACACCUCUGGGUCUUGACCUAACCCACAGAAAAGCACCGGCUAACUCUGCGCCAGCAGCCGC
This 498-nucleotide ribosomal RNA is filed under the name uncultured bacterium. RNAcentral describes it as "SSU rRNA". It matches the Rfam family "Bacterial small subunit ribosomal RNA", at positions 26 to 518 of the family's 1533-position model. The record is from RNAcentral.